UUUUGAUCUGCAUUCAAUCUU
Caenorhabditis elegans is the source of this 21-nucleotide non-coding RNA. Lineage: Eukaryota; Metazoa; Nematoda; Chromadorea; Rhabditida; Rhabditidae. The record is from Ensembl.